This 213-nucleotide long non-coding RNA is filed under the name Phaseolus vulgaris (common bean). RNAcentral describes it as "long non-coding RNA (PVUL_LNC000695)". The record is from RNAcentral. Lineage: Eukaryota; Viridiplantae; Streptophyta; Magnoliopsida; Fabales; Fabaceae.
AAAGGGGGAGCGGAGGUAGGGUGGUGGUAGGGUUGUACAUGAAAACGAGGUUGUUUAGGUUUAGAGUCCCUAAGUUUGUCUUCAAUAAGCUUAGCUAGACCAAUGGCCUGGGCUAUAGAAUAUGGGUUCAAUAUGGUGAGCUCUCUACGGAUUUCAAUAUUCAAUCCAGAAAUGAAACAAUUAAGAAUGGUCUCCGGAGUGAGACCCACAACA